ACCUGAGAUUAUAUUGAUGACCCCAACAAUAGGCCAAUUAUGCUCUGUGUUAUCAUCAGCCUUCUAAUACUAUCUAAUAGCCUAUCCUAUCUGAUCCUAGACAUACUUAUUGAGGUAACCUCUGUGAAUCAGGACUUCAAUCUCAUCCUUGUGCUGUCAGUAUUCUUCAGUGUCAUGACCAUGGUCUCGAUGGAAGCAGCAAUAUUUAUUUCUCUCUUUUCGUCAAUGGUAUCUUCAUGGGAUGAGGC
RNAcentral lists this long non-coding RNA (248 nucleotides) under Elaeis guineensis (African oil palm). Its description in RNAcentral is "long non-coding RNA (EGUI_LNC043012)". Lineage: Eukaryota; Viridiplantae; Streptophyta; Magnoliopsida; Arecales; Arecaceae. The record is from RNAcentral.